This 354-nucleotide ribosomal RNA is filed under the name uncultured alga. RNAcentral describes it as "bacterial LSU rRNA". It matches the Rfam family "Bacterial large subunit ribosomal RNA", at positions 2098 to 2450 of the family's 2925-position model. The record is from RNAcentral.
GCUUUACUGUAGCCUGGAAUUGGUGUUCGGGCUUCGCUUGCGCAGGAUAGGUGGGAGGCUUUGAAGCUGCCCUUGUGGGGGUAGUGGAGCCAAUGGUGAGAUACCACUCUGGCGAGGCUAGGAUUCUAACCUUAUACCGUAAUCCGGUAAAGGAACAGUUUCAGGUGGGCAGUUUGACUGGGGCGGUCGCCUCCUAAAAGGUAACGGAGGCGCGCAAAGGUUCUCUCAGGCUGGUUGGAAAUCAGCUUUAGAGUGUAAAGGCAAAAGGGAGCUUGACUGCAAGAGUGACAACUCAAGCAGGGACGAAAGUCGGCCUUAGUGAUCCGACGGCACUGCAUGGAAGGGCCGUCGCUC